CCUACGGGUGGCAGCAGUGAGGAAUAUUGGUCAAUGGGCGCGAGCCUGAACCAGCCAAGUCGCGUGAGGGAAGACGGUCCUAUGGAUUGUAAACCUCUUUUGUCGGGGAGCAAAAGACGCCACGUGUGGCGUUCCGAGAGUACCCGAAGAAAAAGCAUCGGCUAACUCCGUGCCAGCAGCCGCGGUAAUACGGAGGAUGCGAGCGUUAUCCGGAUUUAUUGGGUUUAAAGGGUGCGCAGGCGGAAGAUCAAGUCAGCGGUAAAAUUGAGAGGCUCAACCUAUUCGAGCCGUUGAAACUGGUUUUCUUGAGUGAGCGAGAAGUAUGCGGAAUGCGUGGUGUAGCGGGGAAAUGCAUAGAUAUCACGCAGAACUCCGAUUGCGAAGGCAGCAUACCGGCGCUCAACUGCCACUGACAUUGAUGCUCGAAAGUGUGGGUAUCAAACAGGAUUAGAUACCCCUGUAGUC
Molecule: ribosomal RNA, 465 nt
Filed under: uncultured bacterium
Lineage: Bacteria
Description: partial 16S ribosomal RNA
Rfam family: Bacterial small subunit ribosomal RNA
Source: RNAcentral